UGAUGUGAGGGCGAUCUGGCUGCGACAUCUGUCACCCCAUUGAUCGCCAGGGUUGAUUCGGCUGAUCUGGCUGGCUAGGAGGGUGUCCCCUUCCUCCCUCACCGCUCCAUGUGCAUCUCUCCCGAAGCUUCGCACUAGGUCGAAGAGGACGACCUUCCCCGAAUAGAGGAGGACCGGUCUUAGGUCAAGGGUAUAUGAGUAGCUAUGCUCCCCUGCUAGAACCUUCAAACAAGGUCAUUUGAAAUUUUGAUCUUAGGCAUUCUGACUAGUGUGAGAUGGAAUAUCAGGGUAAUUUUGAUUUGCAUUUCUUUGAUGACUAAGG
Molecule: small nuclear RNA, 322 nt
Filed under: Meriones unguiculatus (Mongolian gerbil)
Lineage: Eukaryota; Metazoa; Chordata; Mammalia; Rodentia; Muridae
Description: 7SK RNA (ENSMUGG00000018602.1)
Rfam family: 7SK RNA
About the family: 7SK was discovered as an abundant small nuclear RNA in the mid-70s but a possible function has only recently been suggested. Two independent studies have found that 7SK RNA binds the CDK9/cyclin T complex (known as elongation factor P-TEFb).
Source: RNAcentral